AUUCGUCUCCCUCUCUCCUCUCAAAUCUCUCUCUCCGAGAUCGACCCAUCGGGACCUUGCGGCCCCUCUCCGAUGUCCCUCACGAGCUCGUACUUCUCCAUCGCCAACCCUAGCUAGCUAGCUAGGCCUGCCUCCUCCUCAUUCGAGAAAGCUAGGGUUUUUACAAAUGGAGGGUUGCGUUGGAAUCGAGGCACGUGGGAUCACUGCUGCUGCUGAUUUCUGAUGAUGAUUUCGCGUCGGAUCGAAUCGAGGAUGCAGUUUUUGAUUUCUUUAUUAUUAUUAUUUGUUGUUGGUGUUUUUUACAGGGUUUUUUAAUUGUUUAAUUUGGGUUUUUUUUGAUCUGAGAACGAGGGGUUUGUUGCUGUUUCUUGAGGGUUGGAGAACCAUGGGAAUAUUUGAGGUUUGGAGGACGACCGCCGCCAAACCGCCGACCGCCACCCUCUCAUUCGUUCUCUUCCUCUACCUCUCUCCGCGAUCAAGGCGACAGAAAUAGCUCUGGCCCAAGAUUGUGAUCCGCAAAUGGCUCAAUAUCAGCACCAAAUACUCUGAUUUUAGUGCUAAUGAAGGGGAUACCACUGAGAGCGAUUAUGAAUUUAAAGAGAUGUGCCGAUGGGAGAGGGAAUUGUGUGAGGAAGACAGGAGAUAGGGCCUGGGGCUGAAUCAUAUGGU
Asparagus officinalis (garden asparagus) is the source of this 669-nucleotide long non-coding RNA. RefSeq lists it as uncharacterized. The record is from RefSeq and is a predicted model, not a curated record. The transcript is spliced from 3 exons. Lineage: Eukaryota; Viridiplantae; Streptophyta; Magnoliopsida; Asparagales; Asparagaceae.